This is a non-coding RNA of Oryctolagus cuniculus (rabbit), 7336 nucleotides long. The record is from RefSeq and is a predicted model, not a curated record. NCBI's taxonomy places the organism in Eukaryota, Metazoa, Chordata, Mammalia, Lagomorpha, Leporidae.
UCCCUCCCCCCUCCCUUCCUCCUUCCCCAUCCCUCCCUCCCUUCCUCCCUCCCACUCCCUCUCUCCCUCCCUCCCUUCCUCCCUCCUUCCCUUCCUUCCUUCCUUCUGUUGAGUUGUUUGAGUUUCUUAUAUGUUCAGCUGUUAAUCCUUUGUUAGAUGUGUCAGAUGUGUCACUUGCUAAUUUUUCUCCUGUUCUGUAGUUAUCUCUUUACUGUUUCCUUUGUUGUGUGGAAGCUCUUUAGUUUGACAUAAUCAUGUUUGUCUAUGCCUUUGCUAUAUUUUUUAGACUUGAUCCAGAAAUUCCUUACCCAUUCCAGUGUUCUGAAGUAUCUCCUGUUUUCUUGUACUAGUUUUAAAGUUUCAGGCUUUACAUUUAGGUCUGUGACCCCUUUUCAGUUGAUUCUUGUGCAUUGUGAGAGAUAUGGGUCUAGUUUCGUUCUAUUAGUGUGAUACCCAGUUUCCCCAGCACCAUGUAUUUAAAAGACUGUUCUUUUUCCAGUGCAUGUUCUUCACACCUUUAUCAAAAAAUCAGUUGACAUUAGAUAUGUAGGUUUACACAAACGGUCUCUGUUCUAGUCCAUUGCUCCAUAUGUCUAUUAUAAAAAUACUACAUUGUGGCCGGCACCGCGGCUCACUAGGCUAAUCCUCCGCCUAGCGGCGCCGGCACACCGGGUUCUAGUCCCAGUCGGGGCGCCGGAUUCUGUCCCAGUUGCCCCUCUUCCAGGCCAGCUCUCUGCCGUGGCCAGGGAGUGCAGUGGAGGAUGGCCCAAGUGCUUGGGCCCUGCACCCCAUGGGAGACCAGGAAAAGCACCUGGCUCCUGGCUCCUGCCAUCGGAUCAGCGCGGUGCGCCGCUGCAGCGCGCCAGCCGCGGCGGCCAUUGGAGGGUGAACCAACAGCAAAGGAAGACCUUUCUCUCUGUCUCUCUCACUGUCCACUCUGCCUGUCAAAAAAAAAAAAAUACUACAUUGUUUGAAGUAUCAUAGCCUUAUAGUUUUUCUAAACUUUUAUUUUCAUUUCUGUUUGAAAGGGAGAGAGAUCUUGCAUUUGUGGGUUUACUCCCCAAAUGCCUGCAACAGCAGGGUCUGGCCAGGCCAAAGCCAUUAGCCAGGAACUCAUUCCAGGUCUCCCAUAUGGGAGCCAUCACUUGUUGUCUCCCAGGUGCACAUUAGUAGGAAGCUGGAUUGGAAGCAGAGCAGCUGAGACUUGGCUCGGGCACUCUGACGUGGGACGCAAGUGUCCAAGGCAGCGUCUGAAGCACUGCACCAGAUGCCCACCCUGAACUAUAUUUUAAAUCAAACAGUGCGAUUGUUCCCGCUCUGUUCUUCUUGUUCAACAUGCCUUUGGCUAUUUGGGAUAUCUUUUAGUGCUGCCCAAUUUUCAGUGCUGUUUGACAGAGAUAGCUCUGAACCUGUAAAUUGCUUUCAGUAUUAAGGAUGUCCACUCUCCCCUCUUGUAUUCAACGUGGUACUUGGAGUUUUAUCUAGAGCAAUUCUGGAAGAGAAAUAAUGGGCACCCAAAUGGGAAGAAAGAAGUCAAAUAGUAACUUUUUGCACAUGACAUAAUCUUAUAUAUAGAAAAUUCCGAAGAUACCACCAAAAUAUUGUUAGAACUAAUAAAUGAAUUCAGCAAAGUUGCAAGAUACAAAGUUGGUGUGCAACAAUCAAUAAUAUUGCUAUAUACCAGUAGCAAAUUAUCUGAAAAAAAUCAAGGAAGCAAUCCCAUUUCCAGUAGUUACAAAAUAUUGAGUAAAUAAAUAACUAAAUAAAUAACAUAUGAGUAAGUCUAGCCGCAGCAAUCAACUGUUUCUACACUGGAAAUUAUAAAAUUUUGAUGAAAGAAAUCAAAGAGGAUACAGAGAAAGGGAAAGACAGCCACUGUUGGAGGACUGUUUAAUGCUCACUCUGCUAGAUACUUGUUUAGCAUCUUUAUGAAUGAAGAGCAGGAUCCACAUGCCUCUGCACCCAGGUCCCACUGUGCAGCUAAAGCAGCCACGGAGCCGCGUCAGUGCUCUGUUGCUGGAUGGUCUCAGCUCAUCACCUGUAAACUCAGCACCCACAGGCUCCAGGGUGUGCAUACUGUUCCUCCAGGCUCCUCCUCACACUGCGACAAGAGCGUCAUUAGCCCAUUUCCAGCAGCAACUGCCUGAGCGCCCUGGUCAUGACCACUCAUCUGUCCAGGCUCCAGCUUUGUUCCCAAUCUCUGCCUGCCUGCCUGAGCACUGGGAAUGCCCUGUUGACCCCAUCUUCCUAGCCUGAUCCUCCAAGCACCCGACAUGUGCCCACUAGUCAUUUUCAAAGUUGCCUCUCCAUUUCUUUUCUUUUUCUUUUUCUUUUUUUGACAGGCGGAGUUAGACAGUGAGAGAGAGAGAGAGAGAGAGAGAGAGAGAGAGAGAGAGAGAAAGGUCUUCCUUUUGCUGUUGGUUCACUCCCCAAAUGGUUCUCCCGGCCGGCGCACUGUGCCUAUCCGAAGCCAGGAACCAGGUGCUUCCUCCUGGUCUCCCAUGUGGGUGCAGGGCCCAAGCACUUGGGCCAUCCUCCACUGCCUUCCAGGUCACAGCAGAGAGCUGGACUGGAAGAGGAGCAGCCGGGACAGAAUCCGGCGCCCCAACCGGGACUAGAAUCCGGGGUGCUGGUGCCACAGGCGGAGGAUUAGCCGAGUGAGCCGCGGUGCCGGCCCGCCUCUCCAUUUCUAGGAGUAGUUAUAGUAGCAAUCCCAUCCUCAGCAGUUUUCUGUAUUACUCAGGUUUUGUCACAAUAACAAAAUGCCUGCGGCAGCCUAAUUUUACAUGGAAAUUGGUACUUUUUGUCUCACAUUCUGGAGGCUCACAGCUCCGGAUCAGGCACCAUUCGUUCACCCUCCAGUGCCAGCAUUCUCUCUGGCAGAGUCUCAGUUACCAGAGAUGGCUGGAACAGAGGCUCUGGUCUGCCCAUGAGAAAAACACUGUAGUCGUGAGCACGAUUGGCAGUAAGCAAGAUCACAGUGUUCAGUGACGAGAACACACCUGGCCAGCCAGGAGGGCAUCGCAACAAAGAACUGACCCGCAGGACAGUCAGAGGUGGGCAUGGGCCCACCAUUCCUCGUCCCCAACCCCCGUUCAUCUGGAACAUUGCAGGGUGGGAGGCUCUCUGGGUGUGGCGCUCAACCCAGUGUCAUUGGGCCAGAUAGCACCCUCAGCCCCAUCCCUGCUCCACCCCAUGCCCAUCUUGUGGUUGGGAAGAUUCCUGUGAAGUGGCCCCAGAGCAGAGCUGGGAUCCCCUACAAGGAUACUGGACACUGGCAAGACUUUUGCUGGCUUCAUGGGUUCUUCCCUCAUGCAAACACAGGAACUUCCUACUUUUCUACAGUCCUCUUCCAUACAGAGGCUAAUGUCUACCUUCCUACCCAGCGGUAUGGUGUGGAGCGUGCAAGUCUGCCUAAAUCUGUCUCCUUAUAAAACCAGCAGGGUCAGCCACGAAGCCUCCACUUGCUGACCUGUUCAGAUCGGGUCACCUCCCAGAGGCCUCACCUCCAAAUGCCAGUCACCCUCCUAAUACCAUCAAUUUGUGACUUUGGAGUUUAAGCUUCUUGUUUUAAAAAAAAAAAUUAUUUGAAAGGAAGAAUUAGCGGGAGAGACAGAUCUUUCACCUGCUGGUUACUCCCAAAAUGGUCUCAAAAGUUGGGGCUGGGCCAGGCUGAAAGCCAGUAGCCUGGAACUCCAGUCAGGGGUCCCACAUGAAUGGAAGAGGCCUACCCACUUGAGCCAUUUUGUGUUGUUUCUCCAGGCAUAUUAGCAGAGAGCUGGACCAGAAGUGGAGCAGCUGGGAUUCAAACCUGUGCUCAUAUUGGAUGCCAGCAUUACAGAUAGCAGCUUACCCUGCUGUGCACAAUACCAGCCCCAAAGUUUAAGCUUCCACAUGAGUUUUGGGGCCAAAUAUUCAAACCAUAGCAUGUAGUUUUCCAGUACAAUCCUAAAGACUAAGCACAAUCAAGUAAGUGGCUAUUCAGAGAUGGACUCGGUCCAAUCAACAGGGUCAAACAAGAGCAAAGGUCAAGACAUCAAGUUUUUUGAAUGCUCAAGGCAUUCUAUUGGUUUCUGGAAGACCACAGAGUGCUAAAGUCAGCUGAUGAGGAAGUGCUCUGAGACCGUCAGCCACAGCUAUAGCAGCAACACACCUGGGAAGACACCCCAGGGAGGUCAGCACAGCCUCAGUACACAGGGAAGACACCCCAGGGAGGUCAGCACAGCCUCAGUACACAGGGAAGACACCCCAGGGAGGACGGCACAGCCUCAGUACACAGGGAAGACACCCCAGGGAGGACGGACAGCCUCAGUACACAGGGAAGACACCCCAGGGAGGACGGACAGCCUCAGUACACAGGGAAGACACCCCAGGGAGGACGGACAGCCUCAGUACACAGGGAGGACACCCCAGGGAGGAUGGCACAGCCUCAGUACACAGGGAAGACACCCCAGGGAGGACGGCACAGCCUCAGUACACAGGGAAGACACCCCAGAGAGGACGGCACAGCCUCAGUACACAGGGAAGACACCCCAGGGAGGACGGACAGCCUCAGUACACAGGGAAGACACCCCAGGGAGGACGGACAGCCUCAGUACACAGGGAAGACACCCCAGGGAGGACGGACAGCCUCAGUACACAGGGAAGACACCCCAGGGAGGACGGCACAGCCUCAGUACACAGGGAAGACACCCCAGAGAGGACGGCACAGCCUCAGUACACCUGGGAAGACACCCCAGGGAGGUCAGCACAGCCUCAGUACACAGGGAAGACACCCCAGGGAGGAUGGACAGCCUCAGUACACAGGGAAGACACCCCAGGGAGGACGGCACAGCCUCAGCACACAGGGAAGACACCCCAGGGAGGACGGCCACACUUUCGUGCCCCCGGAGAGCUCUGCUGCAGCACAUGGUGCUCCCACUCACUCUUCUGUCAGGGGCAGUUUUGUGAGGGUUUCCAUGGAAACCAGGCAUUUGUCUUAUGGUCCUGAUUAUGCUUCUUCAUACUUCUCUUUCCUAUCUUUUUUUUUUAAUCCAUCUUCAGUGGUGACAAAUGUUACAGUUUCACAGGGACUGUUUCUGAUUUUUUUUAAUUAUUUAUUUAUUUGAAAGGCAGAGUCAGAGAGAGAGAGAGAGAGAGAGACACCGACAUCUUCCAUAUGCUGGUUCACUCCCCAAAACUCUGCAGCUGCCAGAGCUGAGCCAAUCUGAAGCCAGGACCCAGGAACUUCUUCCAGGUUUCCCAUGAGGGUGCAAGGGCCCAAGAACUUGGGCCAUCUUCUGCUGCUUUCCCAGGUGCAUUAGCAGGGACCUGCAUUGGAAGUGGAGCAGCCAUAGGCUGUGGCUUUACCCGCUACGCCACAGCUCUGGCCCUCUUUCCUAAUCUUAAAUGUUUAAAGGCCUGCCUUCCUUCUUUCCUCCUUCCCUCCUUCCCUCCCUCCCUCCUUCCUUCCUCUGUCUGUCUGUCUGUCUUUCUGUCUUGUCUUAUUUGAAAGGCAGUGUGACAGAGAAGAGGGAGAGAGAGAGAUCUUCCAUCCUCUGGUUCACUCCCCAAAUAGCUACAACAGCCAGGCCAAAGCUAGGACCCUAGAACUCCAUCUGGGUCUCCCACAUGGGUUGCAGAGGCCCAAGCACUUUGGCCAUCUCCACUGCCUUCCCAGGAGCAUUACCAGGGAGCUGGAUGGGAAACAGCAGCCAGGACUUGAAGUGGUGCUCCAGCAUGGGCGCCACCACAGAGGCCCAAGCACACUUUCUUCAGUUAACAAUGUAAAGCGGCAGGCGUGUGGUGCAGCUGGUAACUCCUGCUUAGGGUACUCACAUCCCAGCUGGGAGUGCCUGCUCCUGAUCCAGCAUCAUGGAAGACAGCACACGCGAUGGACAUGCACUUGGGUCGCUGCCAUCCCAUGGGAGACCCAGGCGGAGUUCCUGGCUCCUGGGUUAGCCUAGCUCAGCCCUGGCUGUUGAGAACAUGUCAGGAGUGAGCCAGCAGGUGGGAGAUCUGUUCCCUGCUAGCCCUCCCCCUGUCACUUUUUCUACCACUCUGCCUUUCAGACAAAUACAUAAAAUCAAUCAUUUAAAGAAAGAAUAAGAGAAGGAACAAGUAACAAGCAUGAGGAAAGCAGACAGUGAUGCAGGUACUAUUGACCAUUCCAGAAAGAUAUUUUGAACACAUUUAUGCCAAAAAAUGUGAACAUGAAGGUAAGGUGGAGAAAUAUGAUUUAUCAAGACUGACAUAUGAACAAGUUAGUGCAUUGUGCUUAAGUGUCGAAGUGCAUGUGGUAAUUUAAUCAUCUUUCCUCAGAGGGAAUGCUAAGCCCAGAUGGCUUCACCAACUUACACCAAACAUUGAAGGAAUAAAUAACACCUAUCCUAAAUAUAUAUAUUUUUUCAAUAAAAGUUGGUUUAUGUAUACAUCUAAUUUUGGAGCCUGAUUCUUCAGCUCAUACAGUAGACUUUUCAUUGGCUUAUAUACUCUUCCAUUAUAUAACUGUUGGCAGAAAGGUAUUCCAUUACAGAAGCAGUCUGUAAUUGUUUUAAACAGUCUUCUGUUUUUCUUGUGUGUAUGUGUGUGUGUGUGUGUUUUUUUUUUUUUUUUUUUUGACAUUUGAGUUCUUUCUUGUUUCCCCCAAUUAAACAGAGCUCUCAAUGGCUGUCAGAGUGGUCAUUUAUUUUAUUUUAUUUAUUUAUUUUUUGUGCCUAUGAACUGUGUACUUGGGAUAAAAUCCCAGCACGUACUUUUGUAGACAGAGUGUGUGGUGUGUUCAUUCUUUUGGUACCUGGUGUCAGUUUUGCCUUUAGAGUCUUGCUGAUGGUGCGUGGUAGUUGUCAUCAGAGCCAUGCAUUGUUUUCUGUUCAGCGUAAAAUCCUUCUCUUUUGUGCCCCUCAUGUCCUCUCCCCAGGCCCCGCCUCUCCCCUGUUAUAAUUCUAAAGCUCUAAUUCUUGAGCUGGAGUCUGCUGGGUCUCACGCAGGCCUUUGUGUCUCCACUGCUCAACUGCUCCUCAGCCCCAGCUCAUGCUCACCUCCUGCUGCACUCCUCCGGUCUUGUAGUCGGGACUGGAGCCUGUGACGCAGCUCCUGAUCGCUUCCAGGGCAUGGGGUUCCUCCUGCUCAUUCACAUGUUUCUUACUUCACUCUCCGCCUUCCAGAACAGAACAUCAGCCCUGUGAGUUCAGGACUACCACUCUGCCGUGUUCCUUACCUUGACUGUGCCUGCUCCUAAAUAUUUGUUGUGCAGAUUGAUUUGCUAAUUUAAUAGCUAAGAAAAUCACAAUUUGUUUUAAUUUCCAUUUAUUUGAUACUAGAUAAUGAAUAUUUUAAGUGUUUAUUUUCAUCCACG